GCCGAGCGGUAGAGAUUCUUCGGGAUCUUGAGAGCGGCGUACGGGUGCGGAACACGUGUGCAACCUGCCUUUAUCAGGGGGAUAGCCUUUCGAAAGGAAGAUUAAUACCCCAUAAUAUAUUGAGUGGCAUCACUUAAUAUUGAAAACUCCGGUGGAUAGAGAUGGGCACGCGCAAGAUUAGAUAGUUGGUGAGGUAACGGCUCACCAAGUCUGCGAUCUUUAGGGGGCCUGAGAGGGUGAUCCCCCACACUGGUACUGAGACACGGACCAGACUCCUACGGGAGGCAGCAGUGAGGAAUAUUGGACAAUGGGUGCGAGCCUGAUCCAGCCAUCCCGCGUGAAGGACGACGGCCCUAUGGGUUGUAAACUUCUUUUGUAUAGGGAUAAACCUACUCUCGUGAGAGUAGCUGAAGGUACUAUACGAAUAAGCACCGGCUAACUCCGUGCCAGCAGCCGCGGUAAUACGGAGGGUGCAAGCGUUAUCCGGAUUUAUUGGGUUUAAAGGGUCCGUAGGCGGAUCUGUAAGUCAGUGGUGAAAUCUCACAGCUUAACUGUGAAACUGCCAUUGAUACUGCAGGUCUUGAGUGUUGUUGAAGUAGCUGGAAUAAGUAGUGUAGCGGUGAAAUGCAUAGAUAUUACUUAGAACACCAAUUGCGAAGGCAGGUUACUAAGCAACAACUGACGCUGAUGGACGAAAGCGUGGGGAGCGAACAGGAUUAGAUACCCUGGUAGUCCACGCCGUAACGAUGCUAACUCGUUUUUGGGCUUUCGGGUUCAGAGACUAAGCGAAAGUGAUAAGUUAGCCACCUGGGGAGUACGAACGCAAGUUUGAAACUCAAAGGAAUUGACGGGGGCCCGCACAAGCGGUGGAUUAUGUGGUUUAAUUCGAUGAUACGCGAGGAACCUUACCAAGGCUUAAAUGGGAAAUGACAGGCUUAGAAAUAGGCUUUUCUUCGGACAUUUUUCAAGGUGCUGUAUGGUUGUCGUCAGCUCGUGCCGUGAGGUGUUAGGUUAAGUCCUGCAACGAGCGCAACCCCUGUCACUAGUUGCCAUCAUUAAGUUGGGGACUCUAGUGAGACUGCCUACGCAAGUAGAGAGGAAGGUGGGGAUGAUGUCAAAUCAUCACGGCCCUUACGCCUUGGGCCACACACGUAAUACAAUGGCCGGUACAGAGGGCAGCUACACUGCGAAGUGAUGCAAAUCUCGAAAGCCGGUCUCAGUUCGGAUUGGAGUCUGCAACUCGACUCUAUGAAGCUGGAAUCGCUAGUAAUCGCGCAUCAGCCAUGGCGCGGUGAAUACGUUCCCGGGCCUUGUACACACCGCCCGUCAAGCCAUGGAAGUCUGGGGUACCUGAAGUCGG
RNAcentral lists this ribosomal RNA (1360 nucleotides) under bacterium S14. RNAcentral's name for it is "bacterial SSU rRNA". It matches the Rfam family "Bacterial small subunit ribosomal RNA", at positions 61 to 1430 of the family's 1533-position model. The record is from RNAcentral.